This 505-nucleotide ribosomal RNA is filed under the name uncultured bacterium. RNAcentral's name for it is "bacterial SSU rRNA". It matches the Rfam family "Bacterial small subunit ribosomal RNA", at positions 28 to 526 of the family's 1533-position model. The record is from RNAcentral.
GAUGAACGCUAGCGGCAGGCUUAACACAUGCAAGUCGUGGGGCAGCAUGGAGUAGCAAUACUCUGAUGGCGACCGGCAAACGGGUGCGGAACACGUACGCAACUUUCCUUAAAGCGGGGAAUAGCCUCUCGAAAGAGAGAUUAAUACCCCAUAGUAUCAUUUGAGGGCAUCCAAAGAUGAUUAAAGCUCCGGCACUUUAAGAUAGGCGUGCGGCUGAUUAGAUAGUUGGUGAGGUAACGGCUCACCAAGUCAACGAUCAGUAGCUGAUGUGAGAGCAUGAUCAGCCACACGGGCACUGAGACACGGGCCCGUCUCCUACGGGAGGCAGCAGUGAGGAAUAUUGGUCAAUGGAGGCAACUCUGAACCAGCCAUGCCGCGUGAAGGAUGAAGGUCCUCUGGAUUGUAAACUUCUUUUAUAGAAGAAGAAACCCCAUUAUUCUUAAUGGGUUGACGGUACUCUAUGAAUAAGCACCGGCUAACUCCGUGCCAGCCGCCGCCGUAACAC